UACGGGGGGGGCAAGCGUUGUUCGGAAUUACUGGGCGUAAAGGGUUAGUAGGUGGCCAACUAAGUCAGACGUGAAAUCCCUCAGCUUAACUGGGGAACUGCGUCUGAGACUGAUUGGCUCGAGGACAGGAGAGGAACGCGGAAUUCCAGGUGUAGCGGUGAAAUGCGUAGAUAUCUGGAGGAACACCGGUGGCGAAGGCGGCGACCUGGACAGGUACUGACACUGAACUACGAAAGCGUGGGGAGCAAACAGG
This 253-nucleotide ribosomal RNA is filed under the name uncultured bacterium. Its description in RNAcentral is "partial 16S ribosomal RNA". It matches the Rfam family "Bacterial small subunit ribosomal RNA", at positions 524 to 776 of the family's 1533-position model. The record is from RNAcentral.